GUAUUUUCUUCAGACAGGGCACAGUCUCCUUUGUGGCAAAACCUUCAAACUUCACCAUCCUCAGCUGAAACAACAACAUCUUAACACCAUCUUCAUGAACUGCUGAGCCAAACCUGAUCCAUCAGUGCUGGACUGCACAUAUAACUACAUGCCACACAGAGACUGCUGUUUUAUGAACUGCCAUACCAGUGUGUCUUCAAUGGAGAAGAUGACACACCCAUCACCUGACCUCCUGCCUGAUCUGGAGACCAUCAUCAUGCUGCCACAGUCCACACCUCUGAGACCAUCAAGGAUGACUCAUACUGAGGAAACUGUACUUCCUGUCAGAGAUGCUCAGUGAUCCUCAGAGCAGAGAGAGGUAUUGCUUUCUUCUGAGUUCUUCAGUGUCCCAACUGGGACAUUCAAACCUCACUGCAGAGCUCAUGUCUUUCCUCACCAUCAUGUGAGUGUGAGAUUGCUCUGGAUUCUGGUUAUGUGGCCUGCAGCACCUAUAAGAACAAGCUCGUCCAGUGUGCCUGCAUUCCAGCUUC
Long non-coding RNA from Haplochromis burtoni (Burton's mouthbrooder), 530 nucleotides. RefSeq lists it as uncharacterized. The record is from RefSeq and is a predicted model, not a curated record. The transcript is spliced from 3 exons. Lineage: Eukaryota; Metazoa; Chordata; Actinopteri; Cichliformes; Cichlidae.